This 468-nucleotide ribosomal RNA is filed under the name uncultured bacterium. Its description in RNAcentral is "partial 16S ribosomal RNA". It matches the Rfam family "Bacterial small subunit ribosomal RNA", at positions 28 to 507 of the family's 1533-position model. The record is from RNAcentral.
GACGAACGCUGGCGGCGUGCUUAACACAUGCAAGUCGAACGGAAAGGCCCUGCUUUUGUGGGGUGCUCGAGUGGCGAACGGGUGAGUAACACGUGAGUAACCUGCCCUUGACUUUGGGAUAACUUCAGGAAACUGGGGCUAAUACCGGAUAGGAGCUCCUGCUGCAUGGUGGGGGUUGGAAAGUUUCGGCGGUUGGGGAUGGACUCGCGGCUUAUCAGCUUGUUGGUGGGGUAGUGGCUUACCAAGGCUUUGACGGGUAGCCGGCCUGAGAGGGUGACCGGCCACAUUGGGACUGAGAGACGGCCCAGACUCCUACGGGAGGCAGCAGUGGGGAAUAUGGCACAGUGGGCGGAAGCCUGAUGCAGCAACGCCGCGUGCGGGAUGACGGCCUUCGGGUUGUAAACCGCUUUCGCCUGUGACGAAGCGUGAGUGACGGUAAUGGGUAAAGAAGCACCGGCUAACUACGUG